This 706-nucleotide ribosomal RNA is filed under the name Streptomyces sp. Its description in RNAcentral is "bacterial SSU rRNA". It matches the Rfam family "Bacterial small subunit ribosomal RNA", at positions 61 to 783 of the family's 1533-position model. The record is from RNAcentral. Lineage: Bacteria; Bacillati; Actinomycetota; Actinomycetes; Kitasatosporales; Streptomycetaceae.
GUCGACGAUGAACCACAUUCGGUGGGGAUUAGUGGCGAACGGGUGAGUAACACGUGGGCAAUCUGCCCUGCACUCUGGGACAAGCCCUGGAAACGGGGUCUAAUACCGGAUACUGACCCCCGCAGGCAUCUGCGGGGUUCGAAAGCUCCGGCGGUGCAGGAUGAGCCCGCGGCCUAUCAGCUUGUUGGUGAGGUAACGGCUCACCAAGGCGACGACGGGUAGCCGGCCUGAGAGGGCGACCGGCCACACUGGGACUGAGACACGGCCCAGACUCCUACGGGAGGCAGCAGUGGGGAAUAUUGCACAAUGGGCGAAAGCCUGAUGCAGCGACGCCGCGUGAGGGAUGACGGCCUUCGGGUUGUAAACCUCUUUCAGCAGGGAAGAAGCGAAAGUGACGGUACCUGCAGAAGAAGCGCCGGCUAACUACGUGCCAGCAGCCGCGGUAAUACGUAGGGCGCGAGCGUUGUCCGGAAUUAUUGGGCGUAAAGAGCUCGUAGGCGGCUUGUCGCGUCGGUUGUGAAAGCCCGGGGCUUAACCCCGGGUCUGCAGUCGAUACGGGCAGGCUAGAGUUCGGUAGGGGAGAUCGGAAUUCCUGGUGUAGCGGUGAAAUGCGCAGAUAUCAGGAGGAACACCGGUGGCGAAGGCGGAUCUCUGGGCCGAUACUGACGCUGAGGAGCGAAAGCGUGGGGAGCGAACAGGAUUAGAU